AAUCAACGCUGGCGGCGUGCCUAACACAUGCAAGUCGAACGAGAAAGUGGAGCAAUCCAUGAGUAAAGUGGCGCACGGGUGAGUAACACGUGACUAACCUACCCUUGAGUGGGGGAUAACCUAGGGAAACCUGGGCUAAUACCGCAUAAUACCUACGGGUCAAAGGAGCAAUUCGCUUUAGGAGGGGGUCGCGGCAGAUUAGUUAGUUGGCGGGGUAAUGGCCCACCAAGACGAUGAUCNGUAUCCGGCCUGAGGGGGCGCACGGACACACUGGAACUGAAACACGGUCCAGACUCCUACGGGAGGCAGCAGUGGGGAAUUUUGCGCAAUGGGGGAAACCCUGACGCAGCAACGCCGCGUGGAGGAUGAAGACCCUUGGGUCGUAAACUCCUUUCGAUCGGGACGAUAAUGACGGUACCGGAAGAAGAAGCCCCGGCUAACUUCGUGCCAGCAGCCGCU
This 459-nucleotide ribosomal RNA is filed under the name uncultured bacterium. RNAcentral's name for it is "bacterial SSU rRNA". It matches the Rfam family "Bacterial small subunit ribosomal RNA", at positions 32 to 519 of the family's 1533-position model. The record is from RNAcentral.